GCGCUCGCUUCAGCAGCGUAUGUACUAAAAUUGGAAUGAUACAGGGAAGAUUAGUAUGGCCCCUGCUCAAGGAUGACACACAAAUUUGUGAAGUGUCAUAUUAAAAA
Molecule: small nuclear RNA, 107 nt
Filed under: Prolemur simus (greater bamboo lemur)
Lineage: Eukaryota; Metazoa; Chordata; Mammalia; Primates; Lemuridae
Source: RNAcentral